RNAcentral lists this long non-coding RNA (734 nucleotides) under Podarcis muralis (Common wall lizard). RNAcentral's name for it is "lncRNA (ENSPMRG00000014943.1)". The record is from RNAcentral. Lineage: Eukaryota; Metazoa; Chordata; Lepidosauria; Squamata; Lacertidae.
AUAAUUAUACCUAGAACAUAAUGCGACCUGUGAGACUGCUAAAGUAUGCUGACUGUUGAUGGGCAACCUCAGUGCCCCUUCUUUCCCUUUGGGUUCUUUCAUAUAUUUAAACUAGACUUGGACAAGACACCCUUCAAAGAGUACAUGGCUACCCUAAUUUUGUGACAGUUUUACAAGGGGAAGAGCAAUUGCUCACUGCUGUUUCUGCCUAUAUGUUGAACAGUUCUCAGAUGCAGUGUAGCAGAAAUCAUACUGGAAAAAUCAUUUUGUAAAGAUUGUGAAACUGAAAGAUGAAUGCUUGGUUUAUUCCUACUGUGUGAGUCUGCAUUUGUAAACAAUUGUUUCUCCUCCGUUUCAAGGUAAAAAAAGAGUAACAAAACUUCAAGUCGACACAUGACAUGAAAGUAAAAGGAUAAAAGAAGUCCUAACAUCAGGAAAUGAGAUAAUAUUAGAUCUACUUGUAGAACUCAAUCUACCAUCUGUCUGUCCACCUCUUCUCUUCUCAUAUCAGCAGAUUCAUCCACUAAGACAAUUAUCCUCACCCAAAGCUGCUCACGUGAAUAGAAAAGAGGAAAGCAGGAUAUGCCACCAGGCUUACAAAGUAAAGACAAGACACAGAAGCGAAGGGGAAGUCAGUUAUUCAAGGCCAUAACAAAGUGCUGAACAUGAUACCCAGCUCAGGUAAGGUUGAUCUUCGUGUGCUGGGGUUCUUGCUUGAUUAACAGUUGGCGGUU